Molecule: ribosomal RNA, 460 nt
Filed under: uncultured bacterium
Lineage: Bacteria
Description: partial 16S ribosomal RNA
Rfam family: Bacterial small subunit ribosomal RNA
Source: RNAcentral
CCUACGGGUGGCAGCAGUGAGGAAUAUUGGUCAAUGGGCGCGAGCCUGAACCAGCCACGUAGCGUGAAGGAUGACUGCCCUACGGGUUGUAAACUUCUUUUGUAAAGGAAUACAGUGAGGCACGUGUGCCUCUUUGUAUGUACUUUAUGAAUAAGGAUCGGCUAACUCAGUGCCAGCAGCCGCGGUAAUGUGGAGGAUGCGAGCGUUAUUCGGAUUUAUUGGGUUUAAAGGGAGCGUAGAUGGGAUGUUAAGUCAGUUGUGAAAGUUUGUGGCUCAACCGUAAAAUUGCAAUUGAUACUGGCAGUCUUGAGUACAGUUGAGGUAGGCGGAAUUCGUGGUGUAGCGGUGAAAUGCUUAGAUAUCACGAAGAACUCCGAUGGCGAAGGCAGCUUACUAAACUGCCACUGACAUUGAGGCUCGAAAGUGUGGGUAUCAAACAGGAUUAGAUACCCGUGUAGUC